This 460-nucleotide ribosomal RNA is filed under the name uncultured bacterium. Its description in RNAcentral is "partial 16S ribosomal RNA". It matches the Rfam family "Bacterial small subunit ribosomal RNA", at positions 338 to 795 of the family's 1533-position model. The record is from RNAcentral.
CCUACGGGUGGCAGCAGUGAGGGAUAUUGGUCAAUGGGGGAAAGCCUGAACCAGCAACGCCGCGUGAGGGAAGACGGCCCUAUGGAUUGUAAACCUCUUUUGGCGGGGAGCAAUGCUGGGCACGCGUGCCCGGAGGGAGAGUACCUGCAGAAAAAGCAUCGGCUAACUCCGUGCCAGCAGCCGCGGUAAUACGGAGGAUGCGAGCGUUAUCCGGAUUUAUUGGGUUUAAAGGGUGCGAAGGCGGAUGAUUAAGUCAGCGGUAAAAUUGAGGGGCUCAACCCGGGCCGGCCGUUGAAACUGGGGAUCUUGAGUGGGCGAGAAGUAUGCGGAAUGCGUGGUGUAGCGGUGAAAUGCAUAGAUAUCACGCAGAACUCCGAUUGCGAAGGCAGCAUACCGGCGCCCAACUGACGCUGAGGCACGAAAGCGUGGGGAUCGAACAGGAUUAGAUACCCUAGUAGUC